UACGGGGGGAGCAAGCGUUGUUCGGAUUUACUGGGCGUAAAGCGUGCGCAGGCGGCUUCUUAAGUCAGAUGUGAAAUCCCCGGGCUUAACCUGGGAACUGCGUUUGAAACUGGGAGGCUAGAGUGUGGAAGAGGGGGGUGGAAUUCCAGGUGUAGCAGUGAAAUGCGUAGAGAUCUGGAGGAACACCGAUGGCGAAGGCAGCCCCCUGGGCUGACACUGACGCUCAUGCACGAAAGCGUGGGGAGCAAACAGG
This 253-nucleotide ribosomal RNA is filed under the name uncultured bacterium. RNAcentral describes it as "partial 16S ribosomal RNA". It matches the Rfam family "Bacterial small subunit ribosomal RNA", at positions 524 to 776 of the family's 1533-position model. The record is from RNAcentral.